UUCGGGAACCGGUGACAGGUGCUGCAUGGCUGUCGUCAGCUCGUGUCGUGAGAUGUUGGGUUAAGUCCCGCAACGAGCGCAACCCUUGUCUUUAAUUGCCAUCAUUUAGUUGGGCACUUUAAAGAGACUGCCGGUGUUAAGCCGGAGGAAGGUGGGGAUGACGUCAAGUCCUCAUGGCCUUUAUGCCCAGGGCUACACACGUGCUACAAUGGGCGGUACAAAGAGAAGCAACCUCGCGAGGGUGAGCAAAUCUCAAAAAGCCGUUCUCAGUUCGGAUUGAAGUCUGCAACUCGACUGCAUGAAGUUGGAAUCGCUAGUAAUCGUGGAUCAGCCAAGCCGCGGUGAAUACGUUCCCGGGCCUU
This 362-nucleotide ribosomal RNA is filed under the name uncultured Syntrophaceae bacterium. RNAcentral's name for it is "bacterial SSU rRNA". It matches the Rfam family "Bacterial small subunit ribosomal RNA", at positions 1020 to 1382 of the family's 1533-position model. The record is from RNAcentral. Lineage: Bacteria; Pseudomonadati; Thermodesulfobacteriota; Syntrophia; Syntrophales; Syntrophaceae.